Non-coding RNA from Vicia faba (fava bean), 237 nucleotides. NCBI's taxonomy places the organism in Eukaryota, Viridiplantae, Streptophyta, Magnoliopsida, Fabales, Fabaceae. The record is from the annotation of a GenBank genome assembly.
AUGAGUCGUGGAAACCAGAAAGAGGUGAAUCAUUUUCUUCCCAUUUCAUUUACAAAUCGUUUCGUUACUGAAUGCUUGUUUACGAGAUUUUCUUUCUAUCUGUAUGUAAUUCUGCAUUUUCCGACGACUUAUGAUCUUCCCGCGACUGUUCGAUGCAUCUUCCAGUCACUGUUCAAGGCCCCUUCCGGUGACAGUUCGAUGCAUCUUCCAGUCACUGUUCGAUGCGCCUUCCGGUGA